Molecule: unclassified non-coding RNA, 344 nt
Filed under: soil metagenome
Description: partial contains 5.8S ribosomal RNA, internal transcribed spacer 2, and large subunit ribosomal RNA
Rfam family: 5.8S ribosomal RNA (bases 2-121)
Source: RNAcentral
GGAUGAAGAACGUAGCGAAAUGCGAUAAGUAAUGUGAAUUGCAGAAUUCAGUGAAUCAUCGAAUCUUUGAACGCACAUUGCGCCCGCCAGCAUUCUGGCGGGCAUGCCUGUUCGAGCGUCAUUUCAACCCUCGACCUCCCCUUGGGGAGGUCGGCGUUGGGGACCGGCAGCACACCGCCGGCCCUGAAAUGGAGUGGCGGCCCGUCCGCGGCGACCUCUGCGCAGUAAUACAGCUCGCACCGGGACCCCGACGCGGCCACGCCGUAAAACACCCAACUUCUGAACGUUGACCUCGAAUCAGGUAGGACUACCCGCUGAACUUAAGCAUAUCAAUAAGCGGAGGA